RNAcentral lists this ribosomal RNA (504 nucleotides) under Agathemera maculafulgens. RNAcentral's name for it is "partial 16S ribosomal RNA". It matches the Rfam family "Bacterial large subunit ribosomal RNA", at positions 1844 to 2608 of the family's 2925-position model. Lineage: Eukaryota; Metazoa; Arthropoda; Insecta; Phasmatodea; Agathemeridae. The record is from RNAcentral.
UAUUUGAAAUUUGACCUGCCCAAUGAAUAUAUUUUAAUGGCCGCGGUAUUUUGACCGUGCAAAGGUAGCAUAAUCAUUAGUUUAUUAAUUGUGGACUUGUAUGAAUGGUUGGACGAAAUAUUUACUGUCUCAUAUUUAUUUUUUGAAAUUAAUUUUUUAGUUAGAAAGCUUAAAUUUUUUUGGAGGACGAGAAGACCCUAUAGAUCUUUAUUAUUUAUAUUUUUAUUUAAUUUGGUUUAUUUGUAUUUAAUUGUAUUGAUUUUUUGGUUGGGGUGACAGGGAGAUUGUAUUAACUCUUUUUAUAUUAUUUACAAUGAUUUUUGAUUAAUUUGACCUUUUAUUAUUGUUUAUUAGAUUAGAUACCUUAGGGAUAACAGCGUAAUUCUUUUUGAGAGUUCAUAUCGACAAGGGAGUUUGCGACCUCGAUGUUGGAUUAAGAAUAAGUUUGGGAGUAGAUGUUCAAAGUUUAGGUCUGUUCGACCUUUAAAUUCUUACGUGAUCUGA